This 1075-nucleotide long non-coding RNA is filed under the name Dromaius novaehollandiae (emu). Its description in RNAcentral is "lncRNA (ENSDNVG00000006145.1)". The record is from RNAcentral. Lineage: Eukaryota; Metazoa; Chordata; Aves; Casuariiformes; Dromaiidae.
CGCGGUGCUUGGACAAAAGCAUCUUCCCGGGGUUUUCGGGGUUGCUCUGCGCAAGCCCAGCCCCUAACGGGAGCAGCGGAAUGGAGCGCAGCUCCGUUUUCAUCCCGCACAGCCUUCACCUCCGCGCGGCUCCUGCGCGAACUGGGGGAAAGGCUAAAAGUAGUCACUCCGCCGCGUGCCAAGAAACUCAGCCUCGGCGCGCCGGGGGGGCAGCCACAUCUGGCAGCGGGGGACGGAGGCCGUGGGAAGGGGAGCGGCGGCGGCAUCCGGCCGUGCCCCGAGCCGCGGAGGCGCCCGGGGAGCCCAGGAAAGGCGGUUUCGGGGCGCCGAAACCUCGGCAGGGCCCGGGCAGCCCCGGCAACGACGUUUCCAGCCUCUGCUCGUACCCUUCCUCGCUUCUGCCUCAUGUCCCCUCCCGACCUUCCUGCCCAUCCCAGGAGACCAGAAUUAACACAGGCGGCUAACGAGCUCCCCGAGCGCGGGCUCCAACCCCCCCCCCCCCCCCCCGGGGAAAAGCCUGUUUUGCCGCUUUGUCCACGUGUGUUUUCUAAGCAGCACGUUAGGGCUCGAACGAGAUGCCCGAGAUACCCCGAGUGCCGGUGCAGAGCGCGGACUCACCGGGGCUGUGCUGUCGUUCCAGGCGACUACUUAUACGCGACCGUAGAAUAUUACUCCGAGAACACUACGUUAAUACCGACCAUGUACUCCUACGAGGAGGAAUACCAGGAGUCGGUGGGAUCUCCCCUGCAAGGCCACCUCCCUCUCGCCAUCCUCCUCACCCUCCUGGGCUUCGUGCUAUAACUCCCCGUUUUCCUCCUUAGACGYGGCGACCGGGAUGGGAAAACACCCCACUGCCACCCCGCGUCCUCCGAACGGAGCCGUCCCCUCCGGAUCCAGCACAAUCGCGACUUUAUACACAAAGUUUUCAAUAGCUUGACGGUGCUGCCCAGAGCCGAGCGCCUCGUGCACACGCCGCAGAGCUUUGUCCUGCCUAGGGCCCUUCCUAUUUCCGCUUAUUCUCUUGUAAAUAGGAACCGCUGCCAAUAAAAUUGCUAACAACUGACUACCGGUCUCA